This 253-nucleotide ribosomal RNA is filed under the name uncultured bacterium. RNAcentral's name for it is "partial 16S ribosomal RNA". It matches the Rfam family "Bacterial small subunit ribosomal RNA", at positions 524 to 776 of the family's 1533-position model. The record is from RNAcentral.
UACAUAGGGUCCGAGCGUUGUCCGGAAUUAUUGGGCGUAAAGGGCUCGUAGGCGGUCUGUUGCGUCGGGAGUGAAAACUUACAGCUUAACUGUGAGCGUGCUUCCGAUACGGGCAGACUUGAGGUAUUCAGGGGAGAACGGAAUUCCUGGUGUAGCGGUGAAAUGCGUAGAUAUCGGGAGGAACACCAGCGGCGAAGGCGGCUUUCUGGACCAAUACUGACGCUGAGACGCGAAAGCGUGGGGAGCAAACAGG